Molecule: ribosomal RNA, 435 nt
Filed under: Salmonella enterica subsp. enterica
Lineage: Bacteria; Pseudomonadati; Pseudomonadota; Gammaproteobacteria; Enterobacterales; Enterobacteriaceae
Description: partial 23S ribosomal RNA
Rfam family: Bacterial large subunit ribosomal RNA
Source: RNAcentral
UGUUUCGGCUAGGGGGCCAUCCCGGCUUACCAACCCGAUGCAAACUGCGAAUACCGGAGAAUGUUAUCACGGGAGACACACGGCGGGUGCUAACGUCCGUCGUGAAGAGGGAAACAACCCAGACCGCCAGCUAAGGUCCCAAAGUCAUGGUUAAGUGGGAAACGAUGUGGGAAGGCCCAGACAGCCAGGAUGUUGGCUUAGAAGCAGCCAUCAUUUAAAGAAAGCGUAAUAGCUCACUGGUCGAGUCGGCCUGCGCGGAAGAUGUAACGGGGCUAAACCAUGCACCGAAGCUGCGGCAGCGAACGUAUCACUUAAAGCGAUUCAGCGGGUUACGAUUGACGGAGCGAAGCGACGUCAAAGCGUAUACAAAGUCGAGUCGGUUUAAGGAUACGUUCGUUGGGUAGGGGAGCGUUCUGUAAGCCUGUGAAGGUGGCC